UAUCGUUAAGUGAAUACAUAGCUUAACGAGGCGAACCGGGGGAACUGAAACAUCUAAGUACCCCGAGGAAAAGAAAUCAACCGAGAUUCCCCCAGUAGCGGCGAGCGAACGGGGAGCAGCCCAGAGUCUGAAUCAGCUUGUGUGUUAGUGGAACGGUCUGGAAAGUCCGACGGUACAGGGUGAUAGUCCCGUACACCAAAAUGCACAGGCUGUGAACUCGAUGAGUAGGGCGGGACACGUGGUAUCCUGUCUGAAUAUGGGGGGACCAUCCUCCAAGGCUAAAUACUCCUGACUGACCGAUAGUGAACCAGUACCGUGAGGGAAAGGCGAAAAGAACCCCGGCGAGGGGAGUGAAAAAGAACCUGAAACCGUGUACGUACAAGCAGUGGGAGCCUCUUUAUGGGGUGACUGCGUACCUUUUGUAUAAUGGGUCAGCGACUUAUAUUCUGUAGCAAGGUUAACCGAAUAGGGGAGCCGAAGGGAAACCGAGUCUUAACUGGGCGUUAAGUUGCAGGGUAUAGACCCGAAACCCGGUGAUCUAGCCAUGGGCAGGUUGAAGGUUGGGUAACACUAACUGGAGGACCGAACCGACUAAUGUUGAAAAAUUAGCGGAUGACUUGUGGCUGGGGGUGAAAGGCCAAUCAAACCGGGAGAUAGCUGGUUCUCCCCGAAAGCUAUUUAGGUAGCGCCUCGUGAACUCAUCUUCGGGGGUAGAGCACUGUUUCGGCUAGGGGGUCAUCCCGACUUACCAACCCGAUGCAAACUGCGAAUACCGAAGAAUGUUAUCACGGGAGACACACGGCGGGUGCUAACGUCCGUCGUGAAGAGGGAAACAACCCAGACCGCCAGCUAAGGUCCCAAAGUCAUGGUUAAGUGGGAAACGAUGUGGGAAGGCCCAGACAGCCAGGAUGUUGGCUUAGAAGCAGCCAUCAUUUAAAGAAAGCGUAAUAGCUCACUGGUCGAGUCGGCCUGCGCGGAAGAUGUAACGGGGCUAAACCAUGCACCGAAGCUGCGGCAGCGACACUAUGUGUUGUUGGGUAGGGGAGCGUUCUGUAAGCCGUUGAAGGUGACCUGUGAGGGUUGCUGGAGGUAUCAGAAGUGCGAAUGCUGACAUAAGUAACGAUAAUGCGGGUGAAAAACCCGCACGCCGGAAGACCAAGGGUUCCUGUCCAACGUUAAUCGGGGCAGGGUGAGUCGACCCCUAAGGCGAGGCCGAAAGGCGUAGUCGAUGGGAAACAGGUUAAUAUUCCUGUACUUGGUGUUACUGCGAAGGGGGGACGGAGAAGGCUAUGUUGGCCGGGCGACGGUUGUCCCGGUUUAAGCGUGAAGGUGUGUGUUCCAGGCAAAUCCGGUUCACUYUAACACUGAGGCGUGAUGACGAGGCACUACGGUGCUGAAGUGACAAAUGCCCUGCUUCCAGGAAAAGCCUCUAAGCAUCAGGUAACACGAAAUCGUACCCCAAACCGACACAGGUGGUCAGGUAGAGAAUACCAAGGCGCUUGAGAGAACUCGGGUGAAGGAACUAGGCAAAAUGGUGCCGUAACUUCGGGAGAAGGCACGCUGACAGGUAGGUGAAGCGACUUGCUCGUGGAGCUGAAAUCAGUCGAAGAUACCAGCUGGCUGCAACUGUUUAUUAAAAACACAGCACUGUGCAAACACGAAAGUGGACAGGCUGUCUCCACCCGAGACUCAGUGAAAUUGAACUCGCUGUGAAGAUGCAGUGUACCCGCGGCAAGACGGAAAGACCCCGUGAACCUUUACUAUAGCUUGACACUGAACACUGGUCCUUGAUGUGCAGGAUAGGUGGGAGGCUUUGAAGUGUGGACGCCAGUCUGCAUGGAGCCGCCCUUGAAAUACCACCCUUUAAUGGCUGGUGUUCUAACGUGGGCCCGUAAUCCGGGUUGCGGACAGUGUCUGGUGGGUAGUUUGACUGGGGCGGUCUCCUCCUAAAGAGUAACGGAGGAGCACGAAGGUUAGCUAAUCCUGGUCGGACAUCAGGAGGUUAGUGCAAUGGCAUAAGCUAGCUUGACUGCGAGCGUGACGGCGCGAGCAGGUGCGAAAGCAGGUCAUAGUGAUCCGGUGGUUCUGAAUGGAAGGGCCAUCGCUCAACGGAUAAAAGGUACUCCGGGGAUAACAGGCUGAUACCGCCCAAGAGUUCAUAUCGACGGCGGUGUUUGGCACCUCGAUGUCGGCUCAUCACAUCCUGGGGCUGAAGUAGGUCCCAAGGGUAUGGCUGUUCGCCAUUUAAAGUGGUACGCGAGCUGGGUUUAGAACGUCGUGAGACAGUUCGGUCCCUAUCUGCCGUGGGCGCUGGAGAAUUGAGGGGGGCUGCUCCUAGUACGAGAGGACCGGAGUGGACGCAUCACUGGUGUUCGGGUUGUCAUGCCAAUGGCAUUGCCCGGUAGCUAAAUGCGGAAGAGAUAAGUGCUGAAAGCAUCUAAGCACGAAACUUGCCCCGAGAUGAGUUCUCCCUGACUCUUAAAGAGUCCUGAAGGAACGUUGAAGACGACGACGUUGAUAGGCCGGGUGUGUAAGCGCAGCGAUGCGUUGAGCUAACCGGUACUAAUGAACCGUGAGGCUUAACCUUACAACGCCGAAG
RNAcentral lists this ribosomal RNA (2599 nucleotides) under Citrobacter amalonaticus. RNAcentral describes it as "bacterial LSU rRNA". It matches the Rfam family "Bacterial large subunit ribosomal RNA". Lineage: Bacteria; Pseudomonadati; Pseudomonadota; Gammaproteobacteria; Enterobacterales; Enterobacteriaceae. The record is from RNAcentral.